UGAGGAAUAUUGGUCAAUGGGCGAGAGCCUGAACCAGCCAUGUCGCGUGAAGGAAGAAUGUCCUAUGGAUUGUAAACUUCUUUUGUUGGGGAAUAAAGUGAGCUACGUGUAGCUUUUUGUAUGUACCCAACGAAUAAGCAUCGGCUAACUCCGUGCCAGCAGCCGCGGUAAUACGGAGGAUGCAAGCGUUAUCCGGAUUUAUUGGGUUUAAAGGGUGCGUAGGCGGAUUGUUAAGUCAGUGGUGAAAGUUUGCGGCUCAACCGUAAAAUUGCCAUUGAAACUGACAAUCUUGAGUACAGUAGAGGUAGGCGGAAUGUGUAGUGUAGCGGUGAAAUGCAUAGAUAUUACACAGAACACCGAUUGCGAAGGCAGCUUACUAUAGUGUAACUGACGCUGAUGCACGAAAGCGUGGGGAUCAAACA
Molecule: ribosomal RNA, 422 nt
Filed under: uncultured Bacteroidales bacterium
Lineage: Bacteria; Pseudomonadati; Bacteroidota; Bacteroidia; Bacteroidales
Description: partial 16S ribosomal RNA
Rfam family: Bacterial small subunit ribosomal RNA
Source: RNAcentral